RNAcentral lists this ribosomal RNA (481 nucleotides) under uncultured bacterium. Its description in RNAcentral is "partial 16S ribosomal RNA". It matches the Rfam family "Bacterial small subunit ribosomal RNA", at positions 28 to 523 of the family's 1533-position model. The record is from RNAcentral.
GACGAACGCUGGCGGCGUGCUUAACACAUGCAAGUCGAACGGUGAAGGGGAGCUUGCUCCCCGGAUCAGUGGCGAACGGGUGAGUAACACGUGGGCAACCUGCCCCAGACUUCGGGAUAACGCUUCGAAAGGAGUGCUAAUACCGGAUACGAACUCCUUGGGCAUCCUUGGGGUUGGAAAGUUUUUCGGUCUGGGAUGGGCCCGCGGCCUAUCAGCUUGUUGGUGAGGUAACGGCUCACCAAGGCGACGACGGGUAGCCGGCCUGAGAGGGCGACCGGCCACACUGGGACUGAGACACGGCCCAGACUCCUACGGGAGGCAGCAGUGGGGAAUAUUGCGCAAUGGGCGAAAGCCUGACGCAGCAACGCCGCGUGAGGGAUGACGGCCUUCGGGUUGUAAACCUCUUUCAGCAGGGAAGAAGCGAAAGCGACGGUACCUGCAGAAGAAGCACCGGCUAACUACGUGCCAGCCGCCGCGGUAA